UACGUAGGGGGCUAGCGUUGUUCGGAAUCACUGGGCGUAAAGGGCGCGUAGGCGGCUUUUCAAGUCGGGGGUGAAAGCCUGUGGCUCAACCACAGAAUUGCCUUCGAUACUGUUAGGCUUGAGACCGGAAGAGGUGAGUGGAACUGCGAGUGUAGAGGUGAAAUUCGUAGAUAUUCGCAAGAACACCAGUGGCGAAGGCGGCUCACUGGUCCGGUUCUGACGCUGAGGCGCGAAAGCGUGGGGAGCAAACAGG
Molecule: ribosomal RNA, 253 nt
Filed under: uncultured bacterium
Lineage: Bacteria
Description: partial 16S ribosomal RNA
Rfam family: Bacterial small subunit ribosomal RNA
Source: RNAcentral